UUGAUAAAAACAAAGACUAAAUGAGUUUAUGAAGGUACUCACAUUUUGAUGCAAAGCUUUGUAAACCAAGCUAUAAAAUGGCCUAUGAACUUUGUAAAACAUGUGAAUUCUAAAAAAGAUGAACUUUUUUGAUGAAAAUAAAGAUCCAUCCAUGCAACCAUUAAGAAUCACUACUUAUCUGCAUUGAAAAUUCUUAAUAUAUGGAUAAUAUUUUAAAAAAAUAAAAAAAAUCAUCGAAAAUAUAUUAAAAUCAUUUUUUGCUUAUAUGAAAUGAAGAUUCAAGUUUAAUUGAAGUAUAAAGUUUUUUCUUACUAAACUAUACUCAUUUAAUUAUGUUACAAUAUAUUUUUAGAUAUUUUAGGAUAGAAUUGAAAAUUCUCUAAAUAUAAAAAAUUAUA
RNAcentral lists this long non-coding RNA (398 nucleotides) under Physcomitrium patens. RNAcentral's name for it is "long non-coding RNA (PPAT_LNC007843)". Lineage: Eukaryota; Viridiplantae; Streptophyta; Bryopsida; Funariales; Funariaceae. The record is from RNAcentral.